AAGGCUAAAUACGUCCGUGAGACCGAUAGCAAACAAGUACCGUGAGGGAAAGUUGCAAAGAACUUUGAAGAGAGAGUUCAAGAGUACGUGAAACCGCUCAGAGGCAAACGGGUGGGCCCACGAAAGCCGAAGGCGGGGGGAUUCAGUCGAGAGAACGGUGGGGCAGGACUGGCUGGUUGGACGGACCGUGCCAGGCCGGGUCAGUUCCCGAGAUCUGCCGCCUUUCGACGCAUUUCCCCCUGCUUAGUAGGACGCCGCAACCGGUUGGCGCUGCAGCCAUAAGGGAGAGUAAAUGGAAGGUAGCCAGUGAGUUCUUCUCCGGAGGUGCGAGCUGGUCCUAAGCCGACUCUCCUGGUGCUUGUGGCCCGACCGUGGUCGUGAGUCCCUCAAUGGGAUGUCGCCGAGCCCUCUGACUGGAGCGGGAGAAGUGGCAGGCUGCUUUCCGCGGAAAAAAUCGAUCGCUUCACGCGUGCAGUGGGCGAUCUCCGGAGGUAGCUGCUGGUGCGUUUUUCUCCUGCGCUGGGCACAGGCAGUUGGCGGCGAGUAGGUCGGUCACCCACCCGACCCGUCUUGAAACACGGACCAAGGAGUCUAACAUGUGCGCGAGUCAUUGGGUCUUGAACAAGCCCAAAGGCGCAAUGAAAGUGAAGACCAGCACUGAAGCUGGUGGAGUUGGGAAACUGUGUCACUGAAGAUGCAGUUGCACCAACGGCCCGUCCCGUCCGCAUCGUCGGUGGGGCGGAGCGAGAGCGUACACGUUGGGACCCGAAAGAUGGUGAACUAUGCCUGGGCAGGACGAAGCCAGAGGAAACUCUGGUGGAGGUCCG
This 827-nucleotide ribosomal RNA is filed under the name Draculoides sp. SCH053. RNAcentral describes it as "partial large subunit ribosomal RNA". It matches the Rfam family "Eukaryotic large subunit ribosomal RNA", at positions 312 to 877 of the family's 3401-position model. Lineage: Eukaryota; Metazoa; Arthropoda; Arachnida; Schizomida; Hubbardiidae. The record is from RNAcentral.